CAAAACUUCUAACAGUGUCGUGGCAGUGCUGGCUAAAGCCUCAAUUAUUUACUGUACUUGUAUUUAAAGAUCGAUAUUCCUUUAAGUUUUAUAGUUUGGAGCCAGGAUAGGACUUUAAGUCUCUGAAUUACACUGCCAUCUAGACAAGGUUGUUUUUAAUAAUGUGCAUGACUAUUUGGAAAUUCCAUCCUGUUGUGUGAAACUUGGCAUAGGUGAUAACAAAAUAUAUAUAUAAAAGGCCUUUCGUUAGGAAACACGAGGUUAGAAAUUGCUACGCUUGUUGUAUUUGCAGUGUAUUGAUUGAGUUCUCUGAGUUUCCUGAACUUGUUGCAUUUCCGAAACCUGAGUGUGAUGCAGAUUUGCUACUGCCAUUCAGCCUGUUGUGGAAUGGGCAUGCAGAUAACUACCUGAAAGUAAGAGGGAGUCAUGGGUCCUCAGUAAGGGAGUAGGGGUCACACCUCCACUCUAUCAGGAUUUCAGAAAUACCAGCAAACCCCAGACUGAUUGGGUCACUGUCUCUAAAAUUCUCCUCUAGUUUUCCAGUAGAAAUAUGAAGAUUUUAAGCACGACUGACAAGAUUCUGUCUGCCUCUCUUGUCAUCUCUUGAGUCAUCCUCCCCUUUGCUUAUGAUAUUUCAUUUACAUGGUCAAAUACAGAUGCUCCUUUCACACUAAAUGCUCUUUCAGGUCU
This is a long non-coding RNA of Sapajus apella (tufted capuchin), 690 nucleotides long. RefSeq lists it as uncharacterized. The transcript has 2 exons. NCBI's taxonomy places the organism in Eukaryota, Metazoa, Chordata, Mammalia, Primates, Cebidae. The record is from RefSeq and is a predicted model, not a curated record.